RNAcentral lists this ribosomal RNA (577 nucleotides) under Corynebacterium sp. H126b. Its description in RNAcentral is "bacterial SSU rRNA". It matches the Rfam family "Bacterial small subunit ribosomal RNA", at positions 48 to 637 of the family's 1533-position model. The record is from RNAcentral. Lineage: Bacteria; Bacillati; Actinomycetota; Actinomycetes; Mycobacteriales; Corynebacteriaceae.
CUAACUGCAAGUCGAACGGAAAGGCCUCAGCUUGCUGGGGUACUCGAGUGGCGAACGGGUGAGUAACACGUGGGUGAUCUGCCCUGCACUUUGGGAUAAGCUUGGGAAACUGGGUCUAAUACCGAAUAUGACCACUUCUUGGAUGUUGUGGUGGAAAGCUUUUGCGGUGUGGGAUGAGCCUGCGGCCUAUCAGCUUGUUGGUGGGGUAAUGGCCUACCAAGGCGGCGACGGGUAUCCGGCCUGAGAGGGUGUACGGACACAUUGGGACUGAGAUACGGCCCAGACUCCUACGGGAGGCAGCAGUGGGGAAUAUUGCACAAUGGGCGCAAGCCUGAUGCAGCGACGCCGCGUGGGGGAUGAAGGCCUUCGGGUUGUAAACUCCUUUCGCUAUCGACGAAGCCACUUGUGGUGACGGUAGGUAGAUAAGAAGCACCGGCUAACUACGUGCCAGCCGCCGCGGUAAUACGUAGGGUGCAAGCGUUGUCCGGAAUUACUGGGCGUAAAGAGCUCAUAUGUGGUUUGUCGCCUCCUCUGUGAAACCCCGGGGCUUAACUUCGAGCGUGAACCCUACACCGGC